This 541-nucleotide ribosomal RNA is filed under the name Chaetoceros sp. 7BOF. Its description in RNAcentral is "eukaryotic LSU rRNA". It matches the Rfam family "Eukaryotic large subunit ribosomal RNA", at positions 364 to 1006 of the family's 3401-position model. The record is from RNAcentral. Lineage: Eukaryota; Bacillariophyta; Thalassiosirophyceae; Chaetocerotales; Chaetocerotaceae.
AUGAAAAGAACUUUGAAAAGAGAGUUAAAGAGUACCUGAAAUUGCUGAAAUGGAAGCAAAGGAAACCAGUGUUAUCUUGGCUCAUUCUUCCUAUGCUGCUUGCAACAUGGGCGCUGUGAUCUUUGAUAGGCCAACCUGGGCUUAAUUCGAGGUAAUCAACCUUGGAUUGGACUUACGUUGGCGAAAUGGUUUUCUUUACCCCGUCUUGAAACACGGACCAAGGAGUCUAACAUAUGUGCGAGUAUAGGAGUGACAAACUCCCAUGCGUAAUGAAAGUAACAGUGGUAUUCAAUAUCCGCCGGCCACAAUUCUUCGGAAGAAAGGUCUGAGUGUGAGCAUACAUGUUGGGACCCGAAAGAUGGUGAACUAUGCCUGAAUAGGGUGAAGCCAGGGGAAACUCUGGUGGAGGCUCGUAUGCGGUUCUGACGUGCAAAUCGAUCGUCAAAUUUGGGUAUAGGGGCGAAAGACUAAUCGAACCAUCUAGUAGCUGGUUCCCUCCGAAAUUUCCCUCAGGAUAGCUGCAAUCAAAGUAUCUUUAUCA